RNAcentral lists this long non-coding RNA (1108 nucleotides) under Neogale vison (American mink). RNAcentral's name for it is "Neovison vison (American mink) lncRNA (ENSNVIG00000016594.1)". The record is from RNAcentral. Lineage: Eukaryota; Metazoa; Chordata; Mammalia; Carnivora; Mustelidae.
CCCUGAAGCAAAGCCCACGCCCUCCUCACAAACAGCUUUGAAGAGAUCUAGAUUUCAGAUCCCAUGAUCUGUUAUGUCAGAGGAAGGCAUGCAGAAGACAUGCUCUGCACUCAGUCUCGCCAGGGCAAGAGUAGACCCGACCUCCUUGAAGAAUGAGACCUUGUUCCAUUCUCUUCCCUUGCCUGUAAUGCCUUGAAACAAGCGAGCGGUUCAUAGGAGCUUUGCAAGAUAUUACAGAAUUGCAGUGUGUAUUUGAAAUUCAAAUGCGCAUGGGAUUCGUGCAUUUUAUUGUCCUGUGGCUCAUGUCUCUUAAAUAAAGCAUUUCCCCUGUGUAGGCGCUCCCAGGGGCUCCACAUGAGGUCAGCGCUGGGGUGGCUUUGCCAGGGUCAGAAGGCUGUUCUUCCAGGAAGGGCUGCAGAGACCCUGGGAACAGGACCAGCCCAGCUCACAAGUAUGAAGAGAAUGUCGGAGAGGAAGUGGUGGCUGUGAGUCAGCAUGAGUCAUCUCGUUCCAAUGAGAACAGAGACUGAGGUGUGCGCCCUUUUUUUUUCUUUUUCUUUUUCUUCUUCUUUUUCCCUCUUUUUUCUUUCUUUUCUUUCUUUUUUUCCCUCUCUUAAUUUCUUUCUUUCUUUCCUUCCUUCUUUCUUUCUUUCUUUUUUCUUGGUCUCAGCCAUGUGGACGUGAUGGGGAAUGGAGGGAAGUCGUGACAGCAGGCUGCUCAGGCGGCGGACUGGCAUUCCAGGCAGGCUGUGGCUGAGCCAGCGUGCGCCUCAGUCCUCCGCAGCUCCGCCGGCGGGAAGGUGGAGCCAGCCGCUUCUCCCCGGACACUUAAUGAGCUACAACCCUGGUCUGUUGCCAUUUGAACAAGUUGAAUAACUGGGAGAUGAAACAGGAAGCUCUAUGACACAGUUGAUCGAAAAUGACACAGACACAGAAAAAUCAGGACUCGGCCCCCUCCAGUGCCUCUACCUGCUGCCCACAGCCGGAGUGCAGAUGGCAAAGUAAGAAGCAGAAGGGGAAAGGACUUGGCUGCCAGCAGCUUCCCCAUCCUUUAUGGAUUGGAUCUGUAAAGGAGACUCUCAGGUGGGUACGAACAACACCUAUUGUC